RNAcentral lists this ribosomal RNA (460 nucleotides) under uncultured bacterium. RNAcentral describes it as "partial 16S ribosomal RNA". It matches the Rfam family "Bacterial small subunit ribosomal RNA", at positions 338 to 795 of the family's 1533-position model. The record is from RNAcentral.
CCUACUGGAGGCAUCAUUGAGGCAUCUUGGUCAAUGGACGAGAGUCUGAACCAUCCAAGUAGCUUUACUUCUUCCUUCCCUCUUUUUUUUCCCCUUCUUUUCUCUUUUCCUCCCCUGUUCCCCGUGUGGGCUUUUGUAUGUACCCUAUGAAUAAGGAUCGGCUAACUCCGUGCCAGCCGCCGCGGUCCUACGGCGGCUCCGCGCGUUCUCCGGCUGUAUUGGUUGGACCGGGCGCGUAGGUGGUGGGUGAAGUCAGUUGUGAACGUUUGCGGCUCAACCGUACCAUUGCAGUUGAAACUGGCAGUCUUGAGUACAGUAGAGGUGGGCGGAAUUCGUGGUGUAGCGGUGAAAUGCUUAGAUAUCACGAAGAACUCCGAUUGCGAAGGCAGCUCACUGGACUGCAACUGACACUGAGGCUCGAAAGUGUGGGUAUCAAACAGGAUUAGAGACCCCAGUAGUC